UAUAGUUACUGGGGGAGCUGAAAAGCUGAGAGUUUCGGACAGGCCGGACGACCCUUGGAACCUGGUCUCGAUAAUGCGAGCGUAGGGAAGUAGCAGAACCUUAGA
This 105-nucleotide non-coding RNA is filed under the name Dehalogenimonas sp. RNAcentral describes it as "TPP sequence". It matches the Rfam family "TPP riboswitch aptamer (THI element)". Rfam says of the family: Vitamin B(1) in its active form thiamin pyrophosphate (TPP) is an essential coenzyme that is synthesised by coupling of pyrimidine and thiazole moieties in bacteria. The previously detected thiamin-regulatory element, thi box was extended, resulting in a new, highly conserved RNA secondary structure, the THI element, which is widely distributed in eubacteria and also occurs in some archaea. Lineage: Bacteria; Bacillati; Chloroflexota; Dehalococcoidia; Dehalococcoidales; Dehalococcoidaceae. The record is from RNAcentral.